ACCACGAAAUUAAUCUUUCUACUGGUUUUUUUCUCACCAAAAUAAUAUUCUAAUAAUAUUCUAAUAAGAGCCCCCUAUUUCUAAUUUUGAGAGCGCCCUGGGCGCUUAUUAUGUCGAAUAUGGUGUACUAUUUAGGCCAGAAGAAUUUCUUGUUUUAUAAACAAGUCUACUCUAAUUGUUCAGAAAGUAAAGAAAUUUGCAAAAAUAGAAAUGCUGCACUACAAUAUGUUUUUUUAAAAAUAUGGUUUAGAAUAUUUCUUUAAGAAUUUAACAUCAAAUGAACCCUGAAAACAAUGUGUUUUUGAUUUGUGCAACCUCUUGGCCUGUUCAUAGAGAUGUUUGUAAAAGAAGAAAUUAAAUUAGUCUGGUCUUUUAAUAGGUUGAUGUGACCCCCGAACAUUGAAAGCCAAUGAUUUGCUUCUGUUAAAUAUGGAAACACUGACACCGUUGAUGAAGCGUGUACAUUAUCCAUAUUGGCAUUGAUUUCUCUACCACUUGAUAUCAAUUCUGUCUGAGGUUGUACAUGCAGACCUAGCCUGUUGUAUUAUGUCUGCAACUGCCAGUGCCUUGGUUUCCUGAGAGAGCCUUAACACUGUAGAUACUGUGACAAACCAUGUGAUAUUGCUGGAGAUGGAGGGGAGAAAACAAUACAUGCAAUGUCUUACACUCAACAUAUUUCAUUCACUUUCCAAUACUGAGGCAUCACGAGGGCUUGUGUUUCUGUCACUGUCUAUCACUGGAGGAAUAGUGGACUUUUAGGGGGACUUACACGGUUAGGUUUCAACUGGUUACACUAUUUUCAUGUUCUUUCUUUCAGAACUGGAGAUUAAGAAUGUAUGAUAUGCUCACUCACUCCAAUAAUUCUCGUUGCUGCAUAAUCUGUAGGGUGUGUGUCUGUUUCUCAUGUGUCCUGCACAGCACGUAGCAGUAGGAGGCUGUUGAUGCAUGUUAUGUGACAGGUGCCCUGUACAUGAGCUCCCUCUCGCCAUGUAUCCACAGCCUACAGUUUGUAUGUUAACAUACAGAAUAUUGUCCAUCAGCUGUUCUGAUGUGUAUGUAUGGAUAGGUUAACAUACAGAAUAUUGUCCAUCAGCUGUUCUGAUGAGUAUGUAUGGAUAGGUUAACAUACAGAAUAUUGUCCAUCAGCUGUUCUGAUGAGUAUGUAUGGAUAGGUUAACAUACAGAAUAUUGUCCAUCAGCUGUUCUGAUGAGUAUGUAUGGAUAGGUUAACAUACAGAAUAUUGUCCAUCAGCUGUUCUGAUGAGUAUGUAUGGAUAGGUUAACAUACAGAAUAUUGUCCAUCAGCUGUUCUGAUGUGUAUGUAUGGAUAGGUUAACAUACAGAAUAUUGUCCAUCAGCUGUUCUGAUGAGUAUGUAUGGAUAGGUUAACAUAAAGAAUAUUGUCCAUGAGUAAUUGAUGAGUAUGUAUGGAUAGGUUAACAUACAGAAUGUUGUCCAUCAGCUGUUCUGAUGAGUAUGUAUGGAUAGGUUAACAUACAGAAUAUUGUCCAUCAGCUGUUCUGAUGAGUAUGUAUGGAUAGGUUAACAUACAGAAUAUUGUCCAUCAGCUGUUCUGAUGAGUAUGUAUGGAUAGGUUAACAUACAGAAUAUUGUCCAUCAGCUGUUCUGAUGAGUAUGUAUGGAUAGGUUAACAUACAGAAUAUUGUCCAUCAGCUGUUGAUGAGUAUGUAUGGAUAGGUUAACAUACAGAAUAUUGUCCAUCAGCUGUUCUGAUGAGUAUGUAUGGAUAGGUUAACAUACAGAAUAUUGUCCAUAAACUGUUAGUUAUAAUAACGUCUGUUAGCUUAAACAGGCUUGCUCUCUCAUCACAUGGCUGUCACUUGUGCACUUUCUCUCAACAGAUCUCCUGUGUAUAUUUGUCUUAAUUCCAUAUGACGCCUUCCCUUUUCUUCUCAAUAUCUAUAACUAGUCUCAUUACACCUGUAUCUGUCCUACACUGUAUGGUCAGUGGGGCAGUACUAUUUUCCUUUGAACUAUUUCACUACUUUCAGUAUGAGGUCAUCACCUGUUGGUGCUGGUAACUAUGGUAACAUCUAGUCAGUUCCUUUUGAAUAUCUUCUCAAUGGAACACAAUUUGCUAAGCUUUACACAAAACUGGUUCAGAGAAAUCCAUCGUACAUAUCCCUCCCAAGUCGUCACUCUCGUUAUCAUGUCCAUCCUCUGUCAUCAGGGACACCACACGUGCCUUACCGCAAGGCAUCCCGCGACUCACAAUCAUAAUGUAUGCAGGAGUGGUUGAAUGUUGUGUCCUUGUGCCUGUACAUUGUGUUGGAGUGGUUCUAUGUUUCAUUGUGUCAGUGGCUGAAUGUUAUGACAGGUGCUUGCACGUUGUGUCAAGUGCUUGCACGUUGUGUCAAGUGGCUAAUUGGUGUGACAAAUGGUUUUACAUUGUGUCUGAGGUUGAAUGUUGUGUCAGAGUGGUUGAAUGGUGUGACAAAUGGUUUUACAUUGUGUCAGUGAGGUUGAAUGUUGGUUGAGUGGUUUAAUGGUGUGACAAAUUGUUUUACAUUGUGUCUGAGGUUGAACAUUGUGUCGAGUGGUUGAAUGUUGUGACAAAUGGUUUUACAUUGUGUCAGUGGUUGAAUGUUAUGACAGGUGCUUGCACGUUGUGUCAAGUGGCUAAUUGGUGUGACAAAUGGUUUUACAUUGUGUCAGUGAGGUUGAAUGUUGUGUCGAGUGGUUGAAUGUUGUGACAAAUGGUUUUACAUUGUGUCAGUGAGGUUGAAUGUUGGUCGAGUGGUUUAAUGGUGUGACAAAUGGUUUUACAUUGUGUCAGUGAGGUUGAAUGUUGUGUCGAGUGGUUGUAAGUUGUGUUAAAGUGCUUGUACAUUGUGUCGGGGUGGUUGAACCUUGCGCCCGAGUGGUUGAACUUUCACUCAGAGUGAUUGUGUGUUGUGACAGGUGCUUGCACAUUCUGUCGGACUUCUUCACUUUGUUUACAUGUUGUGUUGGAGCAAAAUGUGCCAGCUGCUUGACCAAGCAAGCAUCUUUCCUGAUAUUUGUGUUCACAGCUGCAGUUGUCUGACUGGGGUUGUGUGGUGUGACUGAUACGACAAAAAAGCUGCACUGAGUCAGAUUGUCCGACCCCUGACGGAAGUGUUAGAUACCAUCGUCAUAAAGGAGACCUAUAAAGUUUCAUUCCAUCUUGUUGAUGGCAUGAUGUCAUGACGUCAUGUUAAUGUGAUGUCAUGAUGUCAAUGUUGAUGUGGUGUCAUGUUGAUAUGAUUUCAUGACUUCUUAUGCAAUCUCAACAUGAAAUAUUCUAAUCAUUGUGGGUCUUGUGGGUCCUUGUUCAGCCUUUUCUAUCUCAUCCCAUGGACACCCUUUACUCUCCUACACGUCAGUUAUAUUCUAGGUUAGGAUGGUCCUGUUUAUACAAAUGUGAACCAUUAUUCAUUUAGGUUCUGGGUGAUAUGCCAUAAUGAGAACUAUCUGGAGGAAGUUUGCCUGAGAUCUGACCACCUACACAGAUGUUGAGUCCAACCAUGGAUCUCGUUCUUGCAUAUUCUGUAUUGCAAACUGUAUAUGCAGUGUAACAAAAACUUAUGAAACAGUGAUGCUGGUUUGUGCCAAAAAACGGAUUAGGAUUGCCAAGUCACAACAUCAGACAUGUACUUAAGAAUGAACUUAAUAACCAGAGACAUUAUCGACUUCAAACUGGUACAAGAACGUCACAUGACAUUAUACAAUUAACAAAUAUAUUUGACCUUGACCUUCCUUGUCUUUCAUCAGAUAAAGAUUAAUUUUAAUAACAAGACUAUAUUAUGUGUAAGCAUCACAUGUUUAUGUAAUAUAUCAUCUUGCUACAACUGGAACAGCAUUCUUUGACCAGGCUGUGUUAUAUAUGUGACCUUGACCUUGACCUUCCUGGUCUAUUGGGAAGGUAAAUAAGAAAACUCUGUUUAAAAAGCUCUGCAAUUGUUAUAACAUUUUUACCAGCAUUCUUUGACCAGACUGUGUGAUAUUGUUAGGUAUCAAACAAUAUAUCAGGUUGUGAAAAAUCUACUUAUUUGCUGUAUGAUUUAGGACGGGAUGCACUGAGGUUCACAACAAUAGAUAUAUAGUUAAGGAACUUUAAUGAAAAUGUUCAAAGGACUGACAAUUAGCAAUAUGUCUUUCAGGAAUCUUACAAUGCCAUUAAGAAGAGAGUAAUGGCUAAAGCUGUUGUUUCAUGCUUCAUGAAUUUCCGAAUAAUUCUCGAUGAACAUACAUGUAUUUGCCAUGUCCUUUAAGUGAAUUAAAAUUCAUUUUCUGAUUGAUCUAAUGUUUGAGGUUAGGUUGAAUCAUUCGUUUCUAUGGCAACACAGCCCUAGUAUAUAGUAGUGUCCUUAUUGCAUAUUUAACACGGUUGCAAUACAAUCAACUGUGUGUUACACCUCGAUCCCCACUGUUAACUGGAUUCACGGUUUCCCAUUGGCAAAACUCAAUUGUUAUGUGCAUAAUUGUUAACCUAUUUCAUCCUUUGAAAUAUUUCUGUAGAUAGUGACCACAUGUGAUGUAUCUGUUUCAUGUUUAUCUCCUUCCUACCUACAAUUACAGGUGACAAUAUUUGUUUUCCCGUUUCUUCAAUCAUUAAAAUCAGAUAUUUUACUCCAAUUCGAUACCACUCCAUCCGAGUAAAAUGUUUGAUUUUAAUAACAUUACUCAUUUCUUUGGACCAGUGAUGUACAUUCAGUCAUUAUUUAUGAUAUCUGGCUGCAAAAUUGGCUUUCAGGCAGCACCAUUUUAAAGCAAAAAUUCAAUGCUGCCAUGGGAAGAUAUACGACCGACUGUUAUUUGUCUGUGGUUUUAGUAAUAUGGUGUUGCCUGAAAAACAUUAUUCCUAGCCUAUUCCUUGUUGCCUUUGUUUUUUGCUUGUAUAUAUAUCUCACAAGUGAAUGAGCAAGUUAGGGAAUAUUGCUCCUGGCUGCUACAGCAAGUGGCUAGCUAUUUGCACCCUAUAUUUCAAUCUCGGCAAGAGUGAUCGACAUCACAUCCCUGUUAUGGGCUAAUGUAUGUUGCUAGCUCAAUCAGAUUUGAAUCAAAGUAGGAUGCCAAUUUGACACAUAUAUAGUGGGGCGUCUCAUCAUAUGCCCAGUUCAUUUACGACUAAGUCAAAUUUGCUGCUACAUGCAUGGCCUCAUCCCAGAUGCUCAGAAAUGAGUUCGUUUUCAAUUGAUCUGGGUACUGGGUUUGUCUAAUGCUCUUUUCAAGAUGUCCGUCACUUGACAAGAAAUGUUUCUUUGUAAUGUCAAGUUUCUGAUAGAUAUUAUCUCUCUCGUUUACCGUUAAGCAUUUACUCAAGCAUGGCCACGAUUGCUGUCAUACUCAAGUCUGGCUUUCUGUACAUUUCACAAAUAUGCACAAUUCAGUAUUCUCUUCCCAAUGUUGACAUUGUUCUCGUUUUAGUCUGAUGUUGUCUUCCACAAUUUAACGAUAUGAACAAUCAUUGUAAGAGGUAUUUUGUUAAAUAAAUUAUUUUGCACACAGUAUCAGUAAUACAAGAUCUUUCUUGAGCUAGCUUGGUGCCCAUGCGGUUCCGAUUAGUGAAGUGUUAUUAUCAUGUUGUUGAAAUCAUUAUGAGUGUGUCGACAGUGUCGUUAAUGUUGCAUUGUACAAAUGUACAUAUAUAUAUUAAAAUAUUGUUGUCUAGCAUACUUGAAAAUGUCACAAAAUCAGCUCACUUAAUUGUUGAGGAAUGAAAAAUACCAUUGUAGAAUGAUUUUUGGAAUAAAACAUUUAAAAAUUCAGAA
Long non-coding RNA from Haliotis rufescens (red abalone), 5753 nucleotides. RefSeq lists it as uncharacterized. The transcript has 2 exons. NCBI's taxonomy places the organism in Eukaryota, Metazoa, Mollusca, Gastropoda, Lepetellida, Haliotidae. The record is from RefSeq and is a predicted model, not a curated record.